AACCUGGUAGCACAAAGUCAGUGCAUCUGCUUCAGAUCAUGAACCAAAUUCUCAUGCGUGGCAGAAGAUCUCUGUUCGAUUCGGAGUCAGGUGU
Mycena crocata is the source of this 94-nucleotide non-coding RNA. NCBI's taxonomy places the organism in Eukaryota, Fungi, Basidiomycota, Agaricomycetes, Agaricales, Mycenaceae. The record is from the annotation of a GenBank genome assembly.